UACGUAGGGUGCAAGCGUUGUCCGGAAUUAUUGGGCGUAAAGAGCUCGUAGGCGGUCUGUCGCGUCUGCUGUGAAAACUCGGGGCUUAACCCCGGGCCUGCAGUGGGUACGGGCAGACUAGAGUGCGGUAGGGGAGACUGGAAUUCCUGGUGUAGCGGUGAAAUGCGCAGAUAUCAGGAGGAACACCGAUGGCGAAGGCAGGUCUCUGGGCCAUAACUGACGCUGAGAAGCGAAAGCAUGGGGAGCGAACAGG
Molecule: ribosomal RNA, 253 nt
Filed under: uncultured bacterium
Lineage: Bacteria
Description: partial 16S ribosomal RNA
Rfam family: Bacterial small subunit ribosomal RNA
Source: RNAcentral